RNAcentral lists this ribosomal RNA (233 nucleotides) under uncultured bacterium. Its description in RNAcentral is "partial 16S ribosomal RNA". It matches the Rfam family "Bacterial small subunit ribosomal RNA", at positions 118 to 351 of the family's 1533-position model. The record is from RNAcentral.
UGAAGAAUUUGUCCAACGGCGGGGGAUAGCCGGCCCAACGGCCGGGUAAUACCGCGUACGACCUUCGGGGGCGAUCCCCUGAUGGUGAAAGCCGCAAGGCGCCGAUGGAGAACUUCGCGGCCUAUCAGCUAGUUGGUGAGGUCAUGGCUCACCAAGGCGACGACGGGUAGCUGGUCUGAGAGGAUGGCCAGCCACUGGGACUGAGAUACGGCCCAGACUCCUACGGGAGGCAG